GAUGAACGCUGGCGGCGUGCCUAAUACAUGCAAGUCGAGCGAACAGAUAAGGAGCUUGCUCCUUUGACGUUAGCGGCGGACGGGUGAGUAACACGUGGAUAACCUACCUAUAAGACUGGGAUAACUUCGGGAAACCGGAGCUAAUACCGGAUAACAUAUUGAACCGCAUGGUUCAAUAGUGAAAGGCGGCUUUGCUGUCACUUAUAGAUGGAUCCGCGCCGUAUUAGCUAGUUGGUAAGGUAACGGCUUAUCAAGGCAACGAUACGUAGCCGACCUGAGAGGGUGAUCGGCCACACUGGAACUGAGACACGGUCCAGACUCCUACGGGAGGCAGCAGUAGGGAAUCGUCCGCAGUGGGCGAAAGCCUGACGGAGCAACGCCGCGUGAGUGAUGAAGGUCUUCGGAUCGUAAAACUCUGUUAUCAGGGAAGAACAAAUGUGUAAGUAACUGUGCACAUCUUGACGGUACCUGAUCAGAAAGCCACGGCUAACUACGUG
RNAcentral lists this ribosomal RNA (497 nucleotides) under uncultured bacterium. RNAcentral's name for it is "partial 16S ribosomal RNA". It matches the Rfam family "Bacterial small subunit ribosomal RNA", at positions 28 to 507 of the family's 1533-position model. The record is from RNAcentral.